This 224-nucleotide long non-coding RNA is filed under the name Ananas comosus (pineapple). RNAcentral's name for it is "long non-coding RNA (ACOM_LNC003452)". The record is from RNAcentral. Lineage: Eukaryota; Viridiplantae; Streptophyta; Magnoliopsida; Poales; Bromeliaceae.
AUAUAGAGAGAGAGAGAGAGAGAGAGAGAGAGAGAGAGAGCCCGGCUACUAUACUUUUAUGAGUAUUAGCUCUCUUAUACUCAUAAGUUUUUAGCCCUUAGAUUUAUUCCAUUGAGCAUUUCCAUCCGUUAGAUUAUACUAUUCAACCAACUAACCACUCAACCCUAGGGGAUCACUAUCAUUCUAAAUGGGGACCACCAUCAUCCUAACCACACAUUCCAUCA